GACGAACGCUGGCGGCGUGCUUAACACAUGCAAGUCGAACGGAAAGGCCCUGCUUUUGUGGGGUGCUCGAGUGGCGAACGGGUGAGUAACACGUGAGUAACCUGCCCUUGACUUUGGGAUAACUUCAGGAAACUGGGGCUAAUACCGGAUAGGAGCUCCUGCUGCAUGGUGGGGGUUGGAAAGUUUCGGCGGUUGGGGAUGGACGCGCGGCUUAUCAGCUUGUUGGUGGGGGAGGGGCUUACCAAGGCUUUGACGGGUAGCCGGCCUGAGAGGGUGACCGGCCACAUUGGGACUGAGAUACGGCCCAGACUCCUACGGGAGGCAGCAGUGGGGAAUAUUGCACGAUGGACGGAAGCAUGAUGCAGCAACGCCGCGUGCGGGAUGACGGCCUUCGGGUUGUAGACCGCUUUCGCCUGUGACGAAGCGUGAGUGACGGUAAUGGGUAAAGAAGCACCGGCUAACUACGUG
RNAcentral lists this ribosomal RNA (468 nucleotides) under uncultured bacterium. RNAcentral's name for it is "partial 16S ribosomal RNA". It matches the Rfam family "Bacterial small subunit ribosomal RNA", at positions 28 to 507 of the family's 1533-position model. The record is from RNAcentral.